This 933-nucleotide ribosomal RNA is filed under the name uncultured bacterium. Its description in RNAcentral is "bacterial SSU rRNA". It matches the Rfam family "Bacterial small subunit ribosomal RNA", at positions 8 to 916 of the family's 1533-position model. The record is from RNAcentral.
AGAGUUUGAUCAUGGCUCAGAACUAACGCUGGCGGCGUGCCUAACACAUGCAAGUCGUACGAGAAAGUUGGCUUCGGCCGAUGAGUAAAGUGGCGCACGGGUGAGUAACGCGUGGAUAAUCUACCCCUCAGUUGGGAAUAACUCAUCGAAAGGUGGGCUAAUACCGAAUGAUACUGCAUGACUUCUGUUGUGUAGUCAAAGAUGGCCUCUGCUUGCAAGCUAUCGCUGAAGGAUGAGUCCGCGUACCAUUAGCUAGUUGGUAGGGUAAUGGCCUACCAAGGCAACGAUGGUUAGCUGGUCUGAGAGGAUGAUCAGCCACACUGGAACUGAGACACGGUCCAGACUCCUACGGGAGGCAGCAGUGAGGAAUAUUGCGCAAUGGGGGCAACCCUGACGCAGCAACGCCGCGUGAGUGAGGAAGGUUUUCGGACCGUAAAGCUCUGUCGAGCGGGAAGAAAUGCAUAGUGGCUAAUAUCCAUUAUGCUUGACGGUACCGCUAAAGGAAGCACCGGCUAACUCCGUGCCAGCAGCCGCGGUAAUACGGGGGGUGCUAGCGUUGUUCGGAAUCAUUGGGCGUAAAGAGCGUGUAGGCGGCUGGAUAAGUCAGAUGUGAAAGCCCUGGGCUUAACCUAGGAAGUGCAUUUGAAACUGUUCAGCUUGAGUAAGGGAGAGGAAAGUGGAAUUCCUGGUGUAGAGGUGAAAUUCGUAGAUAUCAGGAGGAACACCGGUGGCGAAGGCGACUUUCUGGCCCUAUACUGACGCUGAGACGCGAGAGCGUGGGUAGCAAACAGGAUUAGAUACCCUGGUAGUCCACGCUGUAAACGAUGUUCACUAGGUGUUGGGGGUAUUGACCCUCUCAGUGCCGCAGCUAACGCAUUAAGUGAACCGCCUGGGGAGUACGGUCGCAAGAUUAAAACUCAAAGGAAUUGACGG